This 93-nucleotide transfer RNA is filed under the name Klebsiella pneumoniae. RNAcentral's name for it is "tRNA-Ser". It matches the Rfam family "tRNA". Rfam says of the family: Transfer RNA (tRNA) molecules are approximately 80 nucleotides in length. Their secondary structure includes four short double-helical elements and three loops (D, anti-codon, and T loops). Lineage: Bacteria; Pseudomonadati; Pseudomonadota; Gammaproteobacteria; Enterobacterales; Enterobacteriaceae. The record is from RNAcentral.
GGUGAGGUGGCCGAGAGGCUGAAGGCGCUCCCUCGCUAAGGGAGUAUGCGGUCAAAAGCUGCAUCCGGGGUUCGAAUCCCCGCCUCACCGCCA